RNAcentral lists this ribosomal RNA (465 nucleotides) under Vreelandella stevensii. RNAcentral's name for it is "partial 16S ribosomal RNA". It matches the Rfam family "Bacterial small subunit ribosomal RNA", at positions 338 to 795 of the family's 1533-position model. Lineage: Bacteria; Pseudomonadati; Pseudomonadota; Gammaproteobacteria; Oceanospirillales; Halomonadaceae. The record is from RNAcentral.
CCUACGGGGGGCAGCAGUGGGGAAUAUUGGACAAUGGGCGAAAGCCUGAUCCAGCCAUGCCGCGUGUGUGAAGAAGGCCUUCGGGUUGUAAAGCACUUUCAGUGGGGAAGAAAGCCUUGGGGCUAAUACCCUCGAGGAAGGACAUCACCCACAGAAGAAGCACCGGCUAACUCCGUGCCAGCAGCCGCGGUAAUACGGAGGGUGCGAGCGUUAAUCGGAAUUACUGGGCGUAAAGCGCGCGUAGGCGGUCUGAUAAGCCGGUUGUGAAAGCCCCGGGCUCAACCUGGGAACGGCAUCCGGAACUGUCCGGCUUGAGUGUAGGAGAGGAAGGGAGAAUUCCCCGGGUAGCGGUGAAAUGCGUAGAGAUCGGGUAGAAUUCCAGGGGCGAAGGCGGCCUUCUGGACUGACACUGACGCUGAGGUGCGAAAGCGUGGGUAGCAAACAGGAUUAGAUACCCUUGUAGUC